This 254-nucleotide ribosomal RNA is filed under the name uncultured bacterium. RNAcentral's name for it is "partial 16S ribosomal RNA". It matches the Rfam family "Bacterial small subunit ribosomal RNA", at positions 524 to 777 of the family's 1533-position model. The record is from RNAcentral.
UACGUAGGAGGCAAGCGUUGUCCGGAAUUACUGGGUGUAAAGCGCGUGUAGGCGGCAGGCCAAGUCUGUGGUGAAAUCGCUCGGCUCAACUGGGCGGGGUCCAUGGAAACUGGUCAGCUGGAGGACGGUAGAGGUGAGUGGAAUUCCCGGUGUAGUGGUGAAAUGCGUAGAUAUCGGGAGGAACACCAGUGGCGAAGGCGGCUUCCUGGCCUGUUCUUGACGCUGAGGCGCGAAAGCUAGGGGAGCAAACGGGG